RNAcentral lists this long non-coding RNA (458 nucleotides) under Phoenix dactylifera (date palm). RNAcentral's name for it is "long non-coding RNA (PDAC_LNC021607)". The record is from RNAcentral. Lineage: Eukaryota; Viridiplantae; Streptophyta; Magnoliopsida; Arecales; Arecaceae.
CAGUUUCAUUAUAAUUUCAUAUAUACAUAGAAAACCUUGAACUUAAGGUCAAAUCAAAAUCAUAAGCCACAACUAUUUAGUCUGUAACACAACGAUGUGCAAGAAUGACCAAUCAAACAUUCAAAAAAAUUGAAUCCUACUAUGUUUAUGUUCCCCGUGUAUAUCGAAACUGUACUGCCUUCAUCUAAUCAAAUAAAUCUGUACUUUUUUGCAUACAAGCGACCAUGGAACUCUUCAUCUCCCUUACAACAGUGGAGUUACAAUCUCCCGCAGGUCCCCGCCUUGGGGAUCCUGAACUUGGACACUGCAUUAGGAUUCCCAUCACCACCACCCACUCCCUCACCCUGCCACCCGUCAUUCUUCUACACCAGCCUCGGCUUCUUCAAAGCCGAUCCAUUUGCCACUGCCUUGUGACCGGCCGGCUCUCCUGCAUCAUAGCUGGUGUCACUAUUCUGCUC